Molecule: long non-coding RNA, 973 nt
Organism: Gorilla gorilla gorilla (western lowland gorilla)
Lineage: Eukaryota; Metazoa; Chordata; Mammalia; Primates; Hominidae
Exons: 3
Source: RefSeq, a predicted model, not a curated record
GGAAACAUCACGCUUCUUGUGAGUAGGAUCUGUGACUGUCUGACUCUCCGCAGCACUUCUCCAGAGCCUGCCAUGUAGAAGGUGCUCAGUGAAUACUGGUUGAGUGAAUAAACAAGAAAAACCCUGAAGACCAGGAGAACAUGGUUAUUUUAUAAAACGUCACAAAAGGCAAGGGGAAAACAAACAGUGGAGAAGCGGGAGCAGCUAAUCUGUGAUCUUGAUGGAGAAGAGGUGCUGCGUAAGGAUGAUUGGCACAUGGAUGGCUUGGAUGAAGGGAGCCCCCUGAUCUUUAACUUGCAGGUCACAUGGAGAAAACUUUGCAAAAACGCUCCAACAUGGAGAUGUCAACUUGAGUGACAGCCCUGUGCGAGGUGCCUUGCUCCGGCUGCCUUCUUUACAUGCAUGGCUUCACAGAAAUGAUGACUGCCAUUUGAACAGAAAGACAUCCUUCCCAACCGGGGUCAGGAAACUGACAGGGCCCACCCAUUAAUAGAAAUAACUGUCAUUUAAAAUAAAAUGCUUGGUGGAAAACUUCAGAAAUCUAUUAGAUAACAUGGGGCCUGUGAUCAGGGCACCCAUGAAUCACCGUAGAGGAUGCUGGUGCUCAGAUAUGGCGCAAUGAAUGGGCAACAGUCACAUCCCCAGCAGUCGAUGCAGCCAGCCAUAUGGCUCCCUCAUGCAGAACACGCCGGCGCCUUCUCCUGAUUUACAGCCCCUACAUCUUAAUCAGGAGCUUUCCUUGUGGGACAACGCAGGAGGGGAUCUGCAUGAAAGGAUGAAUGACAACAUAGUUUAUGAUUUGAAAACUUCUUACAGCAAAAACUUUUUUGGUGCUUGGAGUUGUUUGGAGAAGAUUCUUUCCUGUCAAAAUAACCAAGCCAGUCAUGCUCACUCCUAAGAGUGAGCUCAAAGCUCAGGACCUCCUCUGAUCUUCCAUGAUGUCUUAUUUUUUGACCAAAUAAAAUAUUGCAUA